This 328-nucleotide unclassified non-coding RNA is filed under the name soil metagenome. RNAcentral's name for it is "partial contains 5.8S ribosomal RNA, internal transcribed spacer 2, and large subunit ribosomal RNA". The stretch from base 1 to 120 matches the Rfam family "5.8S ribosomal RNA", at positions 35 to 154 of the family's 154-position model. The record is from RNAcentral.
GAUGAAGAACGUAGUGAAAUGCGAUAAGUAAUGUGAAUUGCAGAAUUCAGUGAAUCAUCGAAUCUUUGAACGCACAUUGCGCCCCCUGGUAUUCCGGGGGGCAUGCCUGUCCGAGCGUCAUUACAACCCUCAAGCUCAGCUUGGUGUUGGGCCCCGCCGCCCCGGCGGGCCCUAAAGUCAGUGGCGGUGCCGUCCGGCUCCGAGCGUAGUAAUUCUUCUCGCUCUGGAGGUCCGGUCGUGUGCUCGCCAGCAACCCCCAAUUUUUUUCAGGUUGACCUCGGAUCAGGUAGGGAUACCCGCUGAACUUAAGCAUAUCAAUAGCGGAGGA